This 460-nucleotide ribosomal RNA is filed under the name uncultured bacterium. Its description in RNAcentral is "partial 16S ribosomal RNA". It matches the Rfam family "Bacterial small subunit ribosomal RNA", at positions 338 to 795 of the family's 1533-position model. The record is from RNAcentral.
CCUACGGGGGGCAGCAGUGAGGAAUAUUGGUCAAUGGCCGGAAGGCUGAACCAGCCAUGCCGCGUGAAGGUCAGUGCCCUAUGGGCGUUAAACUUCUUUUGUGCGGGAGCAAUAAUGGUCACGUGUGGCCAGACGAGAGUACCGUACGAAUAAGCAUCGGCUAACUCCGUGCCAGCAGCCGCGGUAAUACGGGGGAUGCAAGCGUUUUCCGGAUUUAUUGGGUUUAAAGGGUGCGUAGGCUGUGAGGUAAGUCAGCGGUGAAAUGCCCCCGCUCAACGGGGUGAAGUGCCAUUGAUACUGCCUGGCUGGAAUGCGGAUGCCGUAGGAGGAAUGUGUGGUGUAGCGGUGAAAUGCAUAGAUAUCACACAGAACACCGAUUGCGAAGGCAUCUCACGAAUCCGCGAUUGACGCUGAUGCACGAAAGCGUGGGUAUCAAACAGGAUUAGAUACCCUGGUAGUC